Molecule: long non-coding RNA, 1510 nt
Organism: Vidua macroura (Pin-tailed whydah)
Lineage: Eukaryota; Metazoa; Chordata; Aves; Passeriformes; Viduidae
Exons: 8
Source: RefSeq, a predicted model, not a curated record
GGCAGGGCCAGGGCAGGGUAGGGGCACGGGCGGCUGCCCCGGGCGCCCGGCAGGUACCGCGGGGCAGGGCUGCCGAAGGGCGGCGAGCAGCUAUUUCUGCUGCAGCUUCCUGUCCUUGACCUAGCGAUACAUUGUGAAGUUCUCCUGAGUCAAUGAAUCCUGGUAAAAUGCAGUAAAGGAUUUAAGGUUAUCGUCUGUCUCUCUCUAACUUCUGACAUCUCUUUAUAACAAGAAAGAGUCACAGCCAACUGUAACAGGAGGGCAACACAAUGAAUCCUGAGGAACAUACUGUCCAUAAAUGAGAAGGUUUUUAAAGCACUCUGAUGACUGGAAAGAUACGCAAGUACAACUGAUAUCCCCUGAUGACAUUUGCUUACUUUGACUGCUUGCACAAGAUAGACAGUCAUGUGCAUGAGCACAGCAAAAAGGAGCAGCAUACAUGCUGCAGAACUGGAAAAUACUUUUCAGAAUCCACAACUUUCUCAUGGAGAGGUGCACAUCCAGUGGCCAGAUGUCACUGCAGUCAGCUGUGGCCACUCCACCAUUUCCAAGCUGGAAAUGAGUGUCUGAACAUCCUGCCCACUAAUCCACUGCAGUGCCUGUGUUCUGGCUGUUCUCUUGGCUUCUCAGCCAGAAGAAUAUCCUGAAGCAAAUUACUGUCAAAAGCCAAAAAAAGUAUUCAUAAUUCAUCCUAACGCCCUGUCAACUUUAAAGUAAUUUUUUUCUGCUUUAUGAGUUCUGGCUGAAGUGGUGUUUUAUGAGAAAUUGGAGCUGCAUGUCACAGUACCUUUUUUCCAUGGGUUAAGGGAGACUGUUCUAACACUCCCAGAUUCUGCUGCCCAGUCAUUCUCUCUUUGUAAUUAGCAUGAAGACUACCCUUCAGUCAAAACUAGCCACCUGGAAAGUUUCAGCUUGUAAUAUGCAGCUUUUUUUGUGAAUUAUGAAUGUGCAAAAAAGAGACCUUUCUCCUUACACCCACUUCCUUGCAUAAUUCAAAUAUGAAUGAAUGAAUUUUAUUCAGCCUUGCCAAAAAAAAAAAAAAUCAGCUGAUAACAAGCAUGAAAAAUUUCAGAUGAAAGGGAGGUUUUUUUUUUUUUUAAGAAUAUUCUGAGCAUGGGAGAACAGCAGGUUAAGAUAGAAGUCUCAGCGCAGCCUUAACUAUAACAAUUGCUAUCAAGCAAAUACCAUAUCCAAGCACUAAAUCUUGCUUUGUGCUGCCCUGGUGCACAGUAGCAGGGACAGAGUAGAAUAAUAAAAGCUGGUCCCCUUAUGCAAACAGCAAGGCACAGCACUUGACAGAAUACGAGAAGAAGGUGAGCCUGCCUACUGCUCUGGCUUGCUAACCGUAUUCCCAAGGUCUGUGGGUUGGUUGUCACCUCUAGCUCCAGUCAGAUAGCAAAAGGUACUUCAAACACUAGCAAAGGGAAUGUUUUGGUCCAUUCCAGAAGAACAUUUUACUAAUUCCUUGCCUCCAAGUGUACUAUUCUAUUAAAUAAAGUAUUUGAAGGAA